UGCGCCCUCUUAUUCUUUAUAUGAGAAAUUUUUUUCAUGAAUUUUUCUCAUGCUCAGAAGCUUUUUCACAUCCAUAUUUGAUUCUUUUUAAAUUAAAAAUUGGUUGAUUUAAAUUUGAGUUCAAAUGGAUUUGAAUUUGAAUGAAAACUUAGAGUCCAAAUUGAGUUGGACUCUUCUCUUCACACCAUCACCUUUCUCCAUGCAUAAAAUAUUUUUGUGUGAGAUUUUUUGCACUAAUCUAAUGUUGGUC
This 250-nucleotide long non-coding RNA is filed under the name Elaeis guineensis (African oil palm). Its description in RNAcentral is "long non-coding RNA (EGUI_LNC025396)". Lineage: Eukaryota; Viridiplantae; Streptophyta; Magnoliopsida; Arecales; Arecaceae. The record is from RNAcentral.